RNA transcript from Xenopus laevis (African clawed frog), 8710 nucleotides. It is a transcript of the gene named neuron navigator 1 L homeolog, with no coding region annotated. The record is from RefSeq and is a predicted model, not a curated record. The transcript has 30 exons. Lineage: Eukaryota; Metazoa; Chordata; Amphibia; Anura; Pipidae.
GUCCAUAACAUGGAGGGACUGCCUGCACAAAAUACUAGGGGUGGCUAUUCUACACAUCCCUACACUACAAAUAUACUUUUGCUUAUUGUCUGAAUUACUAAUUCACUAAGUAGGUAAAAAAUGUAAAUAAAAGUAAAAUCACUUUCUACUUCCUAGUCUGACAAUCUGUUAAAACAAAACACUGAUCCACAGAGAAGCACUUAGUAAACAAAACCCAUAUUUUCCACUUAACUGCAUCCUUUUUUAUUCUUUAAGACACUGACAUUGUGGACAAUCUGCAAUCUCAGGUAAUGGUAGUAGUGUGGUUGACUCCAGAAAAUACUGAAUAUCCAGCCCAAUAUCUGUAACCGCAAGAAUCGAGUCCUGCUCUUCCUUAUCUUUCACUUCCAGCAUCUUUCCUCUCCACUAGCUGCCACUCUCCUUUCGCUCUGCCUCUUCCUCGUUGUAACAUUCUCCUCCCCUUCAUUUUUUCUUAUGCUUUUCCUUCUAUUCCGUUUCCUUGUCCCAUGUUCCUCCUCCUCUCAUACUUGUUUUCGCAUUUCCCAUUCCUCUCACAGCGUAUCCACUCUUUCCGCUUUCUCCGCCCGUUCCCCUCUUCCUCCUCCCUCCUUCCUCCUUCCCACCUCCAUUUCUCGCAGCAUCCUCCAGGAGGUAGAAGGAGAAAGCAGAGGGAGUGCCCUGCGCUCAAGCACCGUUACUAUCAAAAGGCUGCACAGACUAUACGUUUGGGUGGUGGCGGAAAAGCAGGAAGCGUUCGCGCAAGGAUCGCACAUUUUCAUUUAGACGAUUCGGUCCAUAUUUAUUUUGUCUGUGUUCCUGAUUAUUUGGCGCAACAAAUACUCCCAUCUUUUCAACGUUUUAUCUGCAGGGUUCGCAUCCCUUUUAUCCUCCAUUGUCUCCUGCUUAAUUUUUAUUUUUAAAUCAGCCAUAUUUUAUUUUUACUUUUGAUCGUCCAUUUCCAUCCUUCUAGGUUGCCAUUGACUUUUCAGCUUCCGGCCUGAUGCACGAGCUUUAUCCUUUUUUGCCAGCCUGCUUUAUUUCAUACGAUUUCUCUUGCUGUCAUUGAAACUCCCAUCCUUCGCAUUUCUACCCCUCACAUCCCCCCCCUCCCACCCUGAUGGCUCUAUUCUAGCAACCCCUCCUCCCCUGUCCGCUUACUAUUCAGGGAGGGGAGGUGUCAUGAUGCAGAGAAAGGUAAAGCCCCCCUCUGGGGCAGUUCCUGGUCGCUCUGCUGAACUUCGUGUUUUUCGUGGCCCAACUAAUGCAGUGCAUGAGUCACGUCUGCCGGGCGCUCCUCUUCGCCGGCAGCGCUCUCUUACAAAUCUUUCGGUGCUAACGGAUGCUGAAAAAAAGUUACGCCUGUGUGGCCCUGAUUGGUGUGAUGAUCUCUCUACUGUGAACUCCUCUAGGACCCAAAAUGCUGCCCCACCAUCUCCUGCUAUGUCAAGGGCAUUGUCCCGUUCAGAGCAUUCUCUUCUGCAGCCUAGGACCCCAAGCCGUAUUCCCCGUGGUCCCUAUGCAGAGGUAAAACCUUUAAGCAAGGCACCGGAAACCUCUUCAGGAGUAUCUGUUGGAGGAGAUCCUGGCAAAGAGGCUGCUGAAGACAAGAAGGCAUUCUUAAAGGUGGACCCGGAGUUAGUAGUGACUGUGUUGGGCGACUUGGAGCAGCUGCUUUUCAGCCAGAUGUUAGAUCCCGAAACCCAGCGAAAGCGAACCGUUCAAAAUGUUUUGGAUCUCAGACAGAACCUGGAAGAGACUAUGUCUAGUCUGCGUGGUUCCCAAGUUACGCACAGCUCCCUAGACAUGCAAUGUUAUGACAGCGAUGAUGCCAACCCUCGGAGCAUCUCCAGCCUCUCUAAUCGUUCUUCUCCAGUGUCUUGGCGUUAUGGACAAGCUAGCCCAAGGUUGCAAGCAGGGGAGGCUCCAUCACUGGGUGGAUGUCGAUCAGAGAGUGGUGUUGGAGGUUGGCAGUUCUCUCACACUAUGCCUCUACGUGGUGGAGCAAGAAUCUGCAACAUUACUCAACAUUUAGAUUUAAUAGAUUCUGGUGAUCGUGAUUUAAAAAGUGGUUAUGGAAGUGACAGUGAUUACCCGCUGGGCAAAGAAGCAACAAAUGAUGAUGAUGACAUCAUCACCAGUUGGGACGAAAGCAGUUCGAUCAGCAGUGGCCUCAGUGAUGCCUCUGGUAAUCUCAGCUCUGAAGACUGUAAUGCUGUCUCUCUCGCUUCAAUGCCAUCUACUCCUACUGCAUCUCGAAGAAGUUCUGCUAUUGCUCUCCGAACAGAUUCAGAGAAGCGUUCACUGGUAGAAAGUGGACUAAGCUGGCACAGUGAACCUGAAGAACGUGCACCACGUAGGAUGGAAUAUGACAGUGGCAGUCUCAAAUCAGAGCAUGGGUCUUCACGUUGGAGACGGGAGAAAAGUGAUGAUCCCUCCAAACAUGAAACAAAAAAACCUGUCACUCUUGGGCAGCCACUUCGUAAGGGGAAGAAUCCACCAGUGGGAGUCACAUCACCCAUUACCCACACAGGACAAAUAGCCCAAAAAGGAGGCAAAACAGAGCAGAAAGCAACUGAUAAAUCCAAACUCACACUAAAGACAGCAGCUCUCCAAAGAUCCUCUUCAGAUGCUGGUCGAGACCCACGUUCCCCUGAUGCUAAGAAACCCCCAUCUGGCAUUUCCCGUCCAGCCACUUCAUUUGGGUAUAAGAAGCCUGCAACACCUUCUUCCCCUAUCACUGGCUGCUCCACCACCCUAGGAAAAUCCCAGAAGACCUCAGGAAUCCCAGUUAAGCCGCCACCUGGGUCUGCAGGGAUCAGUAGGAAGACUAGCCUAGAUGUAUCAGGGGUAACAGAGGCUGGUUUCCUCUCACCGUCAGCUCGAACCAACAUUCAGUACCGCAGCCUACCACGUCCAGCCAAAUCAAACACAAUGAGUGUUACUGGAGGAAAGGGUACUAGUCGGCCCCUUAGCAGCACCAUUGAUGCAAGUUUGGUUCCAGUGCAGGGGAAGUCUGUUGGAGUCCCCAACUCACGUCUGAAGGAGCCUUCCAAGGUAGGAUUAGUUCGACUGGGGGUAAAUCAGACUGACCGUGAGAAGGAAAAGGCUCGUGCUAAGGCUGUGGCCCAGGACACACAGAGCAGAGUAGGCAACGCCAACCAAAUAGAGCACCAAGGUCACAAAGGAAAGGAACCAACUGCAACAACCCCACACAAGGCUGUAACAAAACCAUUCUUAAAGACACCAACCCUCUCCAAUUUGGAUAAAGUUAAUUCAAACAGCCUUGAUUUCUCUGUGCCAGAGGAGCCCCAGAACAAACAAUUAGAACUUUCCCAAGGAGGACCCUGCCUUACUCCCAGCCCAGCUCCUAUCUUGAAUAUCAACACUGCAAGCUUCUCCCAGGGUAUUGGCAGCUUAAGGAUGUAUCCAAAACUAUCUGGGUUGCACCGUAGUAUGGAGUCUCUUCCUCUGUCUAUCAGUGUGCCCCCUUCACCUCCUGCAGUUGAGGAGAUGAACUCACCAAACACCUGCUGGAGUGACAUGAAGAUCAAGUCUCCUGUAACUGAGAGCUCUAUACAAGACAGAAACACUUUGCCGAAAAAAGGUUUGAGAUACCAGUCACACUCUCAGGAUGAAUCAAAGGAGAGGCGGCACUCACACACAAUUGGAGGAAUCCAGGAUGCUGAAGAUCUGUCUCCUCUACCUCCACCUCUUCCCCUUACCAGUGUGGGAAAGCCUCCAUUAAGCAAUUUGGUGAGUCCUUCGUCUGUUCCACGCAUUGCUCGUUCAAGUAGUAUUCCAGCUCAGGAAUCAUCCUUUGAACUUUUUGGUUCUUCGAACAUAGGCAGUUCUCUGUCACUUGCAGAACGUCCUAAAGGAACAAUGACAAGAUCUGGCUCAUUCCGUGACCACAGUGAUGAUGUUCAUGGAUCAGUCCUGUCUCUGGCAUCAAGUGCAUCUUCUACAUACUCCUCCGCUGAGGAAAAGAUGCAGUCUGAGCAAAUACGAAAACUUCGCAGAGAACUGGAGUCCUCACAGGAAAAAGUAGCAACUCUUACUUCACAGUUGUCUGCUAAUGCAAACUUGGUUGCAGCAUUUGAACAAUCUUUAGUAAAUAUGACAUCUAGACUACGUCUGCUUGCAGAUACUGCUCAUCAGAAGGACUCAGAACUUGUAGAAUUAAAAGAUACAAUUGAUUUACUGAAGUCAAAGAAUUCCGAAGCCCAAGCUGUUAUCCUCGGCGCACUGAACCCAACAGACACAAUAUCAAGGGAACUACGCAUCCGGAGGCAGAAUUCCUCUGACAGCAUUUCUAGUCUUAACAGCAUUUCAAGUCAUUGUAGUGCUGGAAGUAUCAAGGACAAUGAGAGUAAGAAAAAGAAGAAGAAGAGUUGGCUCCGUAGUUCCUUUAACAAGGCAUUCAGCAUGAAAAAGGGCCCCAAGACGGCUUCUUCCUACUCUGAUAUUGAAGAAAUGGCUACCCCUGAUUCCUCUGCUCCAACAUCCCCCAAGCAACAACAUGGCCAGACUGGCCCCCCUUCUCCUUCUCUGCACUCUUCCCCAUCUUCUUCUGUGAUCUUUGAGGCUCAGGAAGGGGAAGAGCCAGAGAAAAGAGAGGUCUCAGAGUUGCGCUCAGAAUUGUGGGAGAAAGAAAUGAAACUGACAGAUAUUCGUCUGGAAGCUCUAAAUUCUGCUCACCAAUUGGAGCAGUUACGAGAAACCAUGCACAAUAUGCAGUUGGAAGUGGACCUUUUGAAGGCAGAAAAUGACCGCCUUAAAGUUGUUCCAGCACCUAGAGGCACUGAGUCUUCCUGUCCCUCUCCUCGACGUUCCUUAGCAUUAUCUCUAACACCGUCCUUAGGCACCCCUGCAUCAACAGAUACAGAUCUUUCUCCUAUGGAUGGGUUGAAUGGAUCUCUACAACGUGAGGUAACAGUAACACUACGCACAGUGGUCAGAGUUCCUCCUCAGCAUAUUAUUAAAGGGGACUUAAAGCAACAGGAGUUCUUCCUAGGCUGUGUAAAUAUCAACACCAAGGCUGACUGGCAAAGUGUGGACGAUACUGUGUGCCAGGCAUUUCAGGAUUAUUUAAAUCGUUUGGAUCCUGGAUCCACUCUAGGAUUGGGGAAAGAGUCUUUGAGUGGUUAUAGUUUGGGUCAUAUAAAAAGAGGGUUGGACACAGAGCUACCUGACACACCCCCUUCCAGGAUCUUGAGGAGCUGUACAAACAUCCUUUUGCAUCUCAAAGGUCUAAAGGAGAGGUGUGUGGAUCUCCUCAUCUUUGAGUCGCUUAUUCCCAAACCUAUGCUGCAGCAUUAUGUAAGUUUACUACUUAAGCACCGCCGAUUGCUGCUGUCUGGUCCUAGCGGUACAGGGAAGAGCUUUCUUGCCCACCGUCUUGCAGAAUACUUAGUUGAAAGGUCGGGACGUGAGAUCUGUGAAGGCAUCGUUACUGCCUUUAACAUGCAUCAGCAGAGCUGCAAGGAUUUGCAGCUGUACCUGUCUAACCUGGCAAACCAGAUUGACAGAGAAACAGGGUCAUGUGAGGUCCCUUUAGUGAUCCUGUUGGAUGAUGUGAGUGAAGGUGGAGCCAUCAGUGAGCUGGUGAAUGGGGCCCUGACCUGCAAGUAUCACAAGUGCCCUUACAUCAUUGGGACAACUAAUCAGCCUGUGAAGAUGAGCCCAAACCAUGGACUGCACUUAAGCUUCCGGAUGUUGACAUUCUCUAAUAAUGUGGAGCCUGCUAAUGGAUUCCUGGGACGGUACCUACGCAGAAAACUACUAGAAUCAGAGGGCAGUAUCGGAACUGGACAUGCAGAGCUUCUUCGAGUAUUGGAUUGGGUGCCUCGUCUUUGGUAUCAUCUGCACACUUUCUUGGAGAAAUACAGCACCCCUGAUUUCCUCAUAGGUCCAUGCUUCUUUUUAUCCUGUCCUGUUGGAAUUGAGGAUUUCCGUGUCUGGUUUAUUGAUCUGUGGAACAACUCCAUCAUCCCAUACCUUCAAGAAGGUGCCAAAGAUGGAAUCAAGCCAUCAGACUGGUGUUACAGUGAGAUACAAGUAAUGAUGAGACAAAAUCAAGCAUCAAGGUCAGACCAAAGGGCCAGGGCAAUUGGUCCAUGGACACAAGGCAGCAUGGGAAGAUCCUGUGGAGUGGGUCAGAGACACACUUCCUUGGCCAAUGGCACAACAAGAUCAGUCUAAGCUUUUACAUCUACCCCAGCCCACAGUGAGCACCCAUCAUUCUACAUCACCACCAAGAGAGCACAGCAUUAAAGAUUCCCCUACUACUUCACUGGAGACUGAUCCCUUGAUGGUGAUGCUCCUAAAACUUCAAGAAGCUGCCAACUUCAUUGAGUCCCCAGACAGAGAAACAAUUUGUGAUAGUGACCUCACCACCACUAUUUAAAAAUUCACAACAUGGAAUGUUGCAGUGCAAUAAAAAGCGAAGAACUGCACACACAGUUAACAUCUCAAGAACUGAUGUGGACAACAAUGAAUUCAUUAUGAAGCAAGGAUGUCAACCUAGCGCCACUUAUUUAUUGGAGCAUGGAUGACUCAGCUCAUCUUCUAAUUGUGAUUAUUACCUAAUACCAUCAUAAGUAGGUCAAUGGACAAGGAAAGCAUGAAACAGACUGGUGUUUUGGUUUAUUUUUAAUGAUCAUCUUAUUCAACCAUUGGGUAAUACAGGUUAAAGGAAAAUAUACACUUAUUACAGAAUAUUAUGGAAUAGUGAUGUGUAAUUGGUCUGUCUGCACAUCAAAUGAAAUUUAUUUUCUUGGAUCUCAUUUCUGGUUCCCAAUGACUGGCCAAUAUCAAAUAGUUUCUAAAUACAAAAGAGAUUAUCACUAGUGGACACUUGGGGCUAGAGAUCUGGUAUUUAAUUGAAAGACUGUUAUCACUAUACUUCCUUAAUCUGACAUAACUUUCAAUGUGAUAAUUUAAUUGUUUAUAGGGAAUUUUAAAUAUUCACAUAAAUCAAAUUAAUAUGUGACCCUAAACUAAAUAUAGCUAUAGCUUACUUUAUGUAUAAUUAUGUUCCCACUAUCUAGACUGAGCCCGCUCAAAGUAAUUUUAUGUCUAUGAAGGUGUUGGACCAACGCAUACACCUUUAUCCUAUAUGGCCACACAUGCUAAAACCCUGCUGAAGAUAGUUACCCUUAAGAGCCUCAUCAUGUCUGAAUAAAUGCAUGAUGUUAUUGAUUAAAAUUAAUUUUAUGCUGUUUAAUCCAGAGCCAUGUCUUUGAAAUAUUGCAUUUCAGGGAUUUGUCUUAAGCACUAUUUCCGAUGGAAAACAGUUUUUUUGUGCCACUAAUUUGAUGCCACAGAGAAUUAAAAUACACUGGGGAGCACUACUUAAAACAUACACAUCGUUAAAAAACAUGAAUAACCUGACUAGAGGUACAGUAUUGUAUAAAACAUUUAUAUAAUGUAGAGCACUGUUAUCAACAAAUCGAACAGAGCAAUAGCAAUUAAUUUUUAGCUAUAGUGUUAUUAUGAGUGUACUAUGUGCAUAAUUUGCACACUUUUAAAUCUUAGGUGGAACACGUGCAUCUUAUAAUUUCCCACGUAUAUAGCCUGGUGGAAAUUAUUUCCUUUUAUAUGCAAACAGAUACUUUUACAGCAGGUUUCAUUCAAUUUACACAACUUUUUAUGCUUCAGAUCAGAUGUGUUCAUUUUAUUGCAGUACACUGUGUUGUUAAAUGUAUGGCACUUUAUUUCUCUGCAUUGCUGGUCUCUGUGGUAGGGCAUAGUUUAUACACGCCGUUAGUGUGUGUUUGUUUUGCAGUAUGCAGUUCACUGGCUUCCAAUGCUGUAACAGAGCAUUGGGACCUUGGUGCUGAAUUCCGGUGCUUACUCUUUUAUAGGAGGAUUGGGUGCCAUCAACAGAUCAAUGUAGUAUGCCUGUGUACUAAUUAUUCAUGUAUGGAUCAGUCACCUCUUUGGGCUUGCUUUGGUGCUCAGUCUUUGAAUGUAGGAAACACAAACCAUAUGAAGUAAAGUAAAACAUUAACAGUAUUUCUCCAGACAAAUAUCUCCGAUGGUCUCUUUAGCUUCCUACAGCAAAGGAAAGCAUACACUUAAUAUAUGAAUUCAACAAAGCUAAAAUACUAUGUACUAAAAGGCAGCAUCUGUAUAUACACACAGUGCAUGAACUGUAAAUCUGUACUUUUUACUUGACAAGUUGCAAUAACUCUUAUUGCUUUCCAUAAUUACUGCAAAGCAUUUGCUAAAUGUGAAGUUUUGUAAGGGACAGUUCAACACAAGCUGAACUGCCAUGUAAGGAAAGUGUAGUGUUGCAGUCUGUAUACUAAUCAUCAUCAUAUCAUGUUAUACACCUGAAAGCAUGGAGCACAGAGAUAGAUUGGUAAUACUAUAACAAAAUAACAUAUUUUCUUGCACUAGGUAAGGAAUAAACCAUAACCCUGUGUCUGAUGUGUCAAUAAACUGGGUUUUAUUUUAGACGGUUGCAAAAAUAAUUAUAUAGACAUUUGCUGAACAUAAGUUCAGUAUUUCACAUAUAAAAAUAUAUAAAGCAUCUAUUGAUUUGUGUGAAACAGUAUACAGAAAUGCAAUUCUGUAUAUUCAAUAGGCUUGUCUCCUUUAAUGAAAUAUUGCAUCUAGACGUAUUCAUGAAUAUAAUAAUACAAAAAAAAUACAUCUCUACACAUUUUGUUGUAAAGAGUAUUUAGAAUAAACUUUUAAAUGUUUA